Molecule: small nuclear RNA, 93 nt
Organism: Oryctolagus cuniculus (rabbit)
Lineage: Eukaryota; Metazoa; Chordata; Mammalia; Lagomorpha; Leporidae
Source: Ensembl
AUUAAUAAAUUAAAAAAUUGCAACAAUGUAUCAAGAUUAUCAUGGUUCCUGGGAAAGGAUGACAUGCAAAUAUAUGAAGUGUUCCAUAUUUUU